UACGUAGGGGGCAAGCGUUGUUCGGAAUUACUGGGCGUAAAGGGCGCGUAGGCGGCACGGCAAGUCAGGAGUGAAAGCCCUGGGCUCAACCCAGAAACUGCUUUUGAAACUGCCGAGCUAGAGUGCGGAAGGGGCAACUGGAAUUCCCAGUGUAGCGGUGAAAUGCGUAGAUAUUGGGAAGACCACCUGAGGCGAAGGCGGGUUGCUGGGCCGACACUGACGCUGAGUGCGCGAAAGCCAGGGGAGCGAACGGG
RNAcentral lists this ribosomal RNA (254 nucleotides) under uncultured bacterium. RNAcentral describes it as "partial 16S ribosomal RNA". It matches the Rfam family "Bacterial small subunit ribosomal RNA", at positions 524 to 776 of the family's 1533-position model. The record is from RNAcentral.